Molecule: ribosomal RNA, 585 nt
Filed under: uncultured bacterium
Lineage: Bacteria
Description: partial 16S ribosomal RNA
Rfam family: Bacterial small subunit ribosomal RNA
Source: RNAcentral
UGGGGAAUUUUGGACAAUGGGCGAAAGCCUGAUCCAGCAAUGCCGCGUGUGUGAAGAAGGCCUUCGGGUUGUAAAGCACUUUUGUCCGGAAAGAAAUCCUUGGCUCUAAUACAGUCGGGGGAUGACGGUACCGGAAGAAUAAGCACCGGCUAACUGCGUGCCAGCAGCCGCGGUAAUACGUAGGGUGCAAGCGUUAAUCGGAAUUACUGGGCGUAAAGCGUGCGCAGGCGGUUUGCUAAGACCGAUGUGAAAUCCCCGGGCUCAACCUGGGAACUGCAUUGGUGACUGGCAGGCUAGAGUAUGGCAGAGGGGGGUAGAAUUCCACGUGUAGCAGUGAAAUGCGUAGAGAUGUGGAGGAAUACCGAUGGCGAAGGCAGCCCCCUGGGCCAAUACUGACGCUCAUGCACGAAAGCGUGGGGAGCAAACAGGAUUAGAUACCCUGGUAGUCCACGCCCUAAACGAUGUCAACUAGUUGUUGGGGAUUCAUUUCCUUAGUAACGUAGCUAACGCGUGAAGUUGACCGCCUGGGGAGUACGGUCGCAAGAUUAAAACUUAAAGGAAUUGACGGGGUCAUAGCUGUUUCCU